RNAcentral lists this ribosomal RNA (252 nucleotides) under uncultured bacterium. Its description in RNAcentral is "partial 16S ribosomal RNA". It matches the Rfam family "Bacterial small subunit ribosomal RNA", at positions 524 to 776 of the family's 1533-position model. The record is from RNAcentral.
UACAGGGGGGGCAAGCGUUGUUCGGAAUUACUGGGCGUAAAGGGCUCGUAGGCGGCCAACUAAGUCCGACGUGAAAUCCCCAGGCUUAACCUGGGAACUGCGUCGGAUACUGGAUGGCUUGAAUUCGGGAGAGGGAUGCAGAAUUCCAGGUGUAGCGGUGAAAUGCGUAGAUAUCUGGAGGAAUACCGGUGGCGAAGGCGGCAUCCUGGACCGACAUUGACGCUGAUGAGCGAAAGCUAGGGAGCAAACGGG